GGAGAUGUAUCGAAGUGGUCAUAACGAGCACGAUUGGAAAUCGUGUUGUCCGUAAAACCGGGCACGUGGGUUCAAAUCCCACCAUCUCCGCCA
This 93-nucleotide transfer RNA is filed under the name Candidatus Monoglobus merdigallinarum. Its description in RNAcentral is "tRNA-Ser". It matches the Rfam family "tRNA". Rfam says of the family: Transfer RNA (tRNA) molecules are approximately 80 nucleotides in length. Their secondary structure includes four short double-helical elements and three loops (D, anti-codon, and T loops). Further hydrogen bonds mediate the characteristic L-shaped molecular structure. tRNAs have two regions of fundamental functional importance: the anti-codon, which is responsible for specific mRNA codon recognition, and the 3' end, to which the tRNAs corresponding amino acid is attached (by aminoacyl-tRNA synthetases). tRNAs cope with the degeneracy of the genetic code in two manners: having more than one tRNA (with a specific anti-codon) for a particular amino acid; and 'wobble' base-pairing, i.e. permitting non-standard base-pairing at the 3rd anti-codon position. Lineage: Bacteria; Bacillati; Bacillota; Clostridia; Monoglobales; Monoglobaceae. The record is from RNAcentral.